AACUCUUCUCAGUAGUUGCUGUCUCCAAAUUUGGUUUAAGUUUUCAGUCUUUUCUUAAGACAGUGUGUGAGUGUAACAGGCAGUGCUGGGCAGUGACCCAGGGUGUUGACUGCUGGCCUGCCCACAACAAGCCUUUGGACUACCUGCCAGGCUAGGCCCAAAGACGAGAAGAGAAGGAAGGAAGAAGAGAGGGGGGAGAAGAAGGGAGGAAAGAAGAAAUCCUAGUCAGUCUCUUGACUCAACCGUCUCCUCUGUCCACUUCCAUACCGAAAUGCUUGCUUCAAUCUUCUGAAAUGUUCUGGUGGCUAUCAUCUACUGACCACCCCUGGAGCAUGGACACUCCCCGGACUGCUCGUUAGGAUCUCUGUGUGCAUUUUGUUUACAAUGGCCUGAAAAGAACUUGGGAUGCUAAGACAAUAAGGAAUCUCAUUGGAUAAAGCAGAAAGCUUUGAAUCCAUUACAGAAGUACCUGCACUCUAUAAUUAUAUUUUAUAA
This 495-nucleotide long non-coding RNA is filed under the name Equus caballus (horse). RNAcentral describes it as "lncRNA (ENSECAG00000056218.1)". Lineage: Eukaryota; Metazoa; Chordata; Mammalia; Perissodactyla; Equidae. The record is from RNAcentral.